AUUGAACGCUGGCGGCAGGCUUAACACAUGCAAGUCGAGCGGAGACUUCGGUCUUAGCGGCGAACGGGUGAGUAAUACCUAGGAAUCUGCCUAUUAGUGGGGGAUAACGAAUCGAAAGGUUCGCUAAUACCGCAUACGUCCUACGGGAGAAAGGGGGGGAGUCUUCGGACCUCUCGCUAAUAGAUGAGCCUAGGCCGGAUUAGCUAGUUGGUAGGGUAAAGGCCUACCAAGGCGACGAUCUGUAGCUGGUCUGAGAGGACGACCAGCCACACUGGAACUGAGACACGGUCCAGACUCCUACGGGAGGCAGCAGUGGGGAAUUUUGGACAAUGGGGGCGAACCCUGAUCCAGCCAUUCCGCGUGAGUGAAGAAGGCCUUCGGUUGUAAGACUCUUUCGGUCGAGGAACGAAACGGUAGGU
RNAcentral lists this ribosomal RNA (419 nucleotides) under uncultured bacterium. RNAcentral describes it as "bacterial SSU rRNA". It matches the Rfam family "Bacterial small subunit ribosomal RNA", at positions 30 to 460 of the family's 1533-position model. The record is from RNAcentral.